This 68-nucleotide transfer RNA is filed under the name Paroster microsturtensis. RNAcentral describes it as "tRNA-Trp". It matches the Rfam family "tRNA". Rfam says of the family: Transfer RNA (tRNA) molecules are approximately 80 nucleotides in length. Their secondary structure includes four short double-helical elements and three loops (D, anti-codon, and T loops). Lineage: Eukaryota; Metazoa; Arthropoda; Insecta; Coleoptera; Dytiscidae. The record is from RNAcentral.
AAGGAUUUAAGUUAAAAUUAAACUAAUAGCCUUCAAAGCUAAAAAUGAAGAAAGUGCUUUAAGCCUUA